UGCCUAGAACAGUGUCCUGUAUAUGGGAGACAUUCAGGACACAUUUACUGAAUGAAUAAAUGAAUGAAUGGCUCUCAAGUCAAGCUGGCUGGCUUCACAGUCUGCCCCUGCCAUCUACUAGCAAUGUGAUGCUUCCCAGGCCUUGCCUCCAGCACAACGGAUGCAUUUCAGGGGCAGCAGCUGCACUUGUCUGAGCCCCCUUUGCAGAUGCAGCCCCGGGCACACUUGGCACAGCCCGGGGGGCAGCAAGGACAGCAACCUGAAAAGGUCACAGGACAGACAGAUGCAAAUUCCUCCUAGAAGAGAAGACAGAGCCACAAGCGUAAGGACUGAGAUCGAACAAGGACACAAGGUGUGCUGCAGAUCGUCCCGGUGGCGAGGUUAGUGGUCUGUCCUUGGGGAGGGGCUGGGCAAGAGGAUAGAAGAUGCUGUUGAGCAUCACACAAGUGGCCAGGGCCCCUUAGUGGUUCCCAGUCACAGACCAUGGAUGGAAACUGGGGUGGCUGUGUCCAGCCCUUCAGCCGGGGCACUUGCUAAAUUGCAGAUUCGUGGGUCCGACACUUGAGAUAUUCUGAUUCAUGAGUCUGGGUGGAGAAAAGGGAAUCGUAUUUUUUUUAAUGUUUAUUUAUUUUUGAGAGGGGGAGGGGCAGAGAGAGAGGGGGACAGAGGAUCCGAGGCGGGCCCUGGGCUGUCAGCAGAGAACCUGGAUGCGGGGCUUGAGCUCACGAACCGUGAGAUCGUGACCUGACCCAAAGUUGGGCACUUAGCUGAUUGAGCCACACAGGGGCCCCGGGAAUCAUAUUUUAAAAAGCAACCCAGUCUGAUGUACAGUCAGGGUUGAGAACCACUAGACUAGGCCAAGUCCACCAAGCCCCAGGUCCCCCAGGGGCUGUCGGAGCCUUGUAUACCCUCCUCACCUUUGCAAGGCAUCAGGCAAGAUGGCAACCCUGAAUGGCCAGGAGAAAGAACCAGGGACAUAAAUAACCUCAAAAGAGAGCUGCAGCCAUAGCUUGUUUUCAUACAAAAACCAUUUACACUUAAAAAAAAAAUCAUCCCCCCUAUCAUUUGAGUGUCAAAGUGCUGGAAGCUUCUGUCUCUUUGGCAAGUUUUGGGUAUAGACAUAGUCCUGUAUAGGACCAGAGAGGCUUGUGAGGAUUCUUGGUAAAAGACCAGGAUGUCUCCAAACUCUGACCUCUCUCCUCCUGUGCUACGUGCUUACGUGAAAUUAAGGAGUUUCAGAGACUCGGGAGCCCACGUAUGCUUCUAAUAACUCCCCUGACGUCUGCAAAUGCCUUAUGAUUUUAACACUUUCAUCGCAACUGUGGGAGGUGGGCAGCUGGGGAUGAGUGACCCUGGUUUUUGGAUGAGGAAACUGAGUGUUGGAAAUACUAAAUGUCAGGAG
Molecule: long non-coding RNA, 1402 nt
Organism: Panthera uncia (snow leopard)
Lineage: Eukaryota; Metazoa; Chordata; Mammalia; Carnivora; Felidae
Exons: 3
Source: RefSeq, a predicted model, not a curated record